RNAcentral lists this ribosomal RNA (254 nucleotides) under uncultured bacterium. RNAcentral describes it as "partial 16S ribosomal RNA". It matches the Rfam family "Bacterial small subunit ribosomal RNA", at positions 524 to 776 of the family's 1533-position model. The record is from RNAcentral.
UACGAAGGGGGCUAGCGUUGUUCGGAAUUAUUGGGCGUAAAGAGCUCGUAGGCGGUGUGUCGCGUCGGUCGUGAAAACUUGGGGCUUAACCCUGAGCUUGCGGUCGAUACGGGCAUCACUGGAGUUCGGCAGGGGAGACUGGAAUACCUGGUGUAGCGGUGAAAUGCGCAGAUAUCAGGUGGAACACCGAUGGCGAAGGCAGUGUUCUGGGCCAGUACUGACGCUGAGGAGCGAAAGCGUGGGGAGCAAACAGG